This 291-nucleotide ribosomal RNA is filed under the name Schmidingerella taraikaensis. RNAcentral's name for it is "partial Bacterial large subunit ribosomal RNA". It matches the Rfam family "Bacterial large subunit ribosomal RNA", at positions 196 to 536 of the family's 2925-position model. Lineage: Eukaryota; Ciliophora; Spirotrichea; Tintinnida; Rhabdonellidae. The record is from RNAcentral.
AAACAUCUAAGUACCCGGAGGAAAGGACAUCAAUAUGAGACUCCGUUAGUAGUGGCGAGCGAACGCGGAUCAGGCCAGUGAUUGUGUUGAUAUAACUGGAACGCUUUGGGAAAAGCGGCCGUAGAGGGUGAAAGCCCCGUACAGGUAAAACAGACACAGUCCUAGAGUAGGGCGGGGCACGUGAAACCCUGCUUGAACGUGGGAGGACCACCUUCCAAGCCUAAGUACUCCUUGUCGACCGAUAGCGUACAAGUACCGUGAGGGAAAGGUGAAAAGAACCCUGAACAAGGG